Molecule: ribosomal RNA, 253 nt
Filed under: uncultured bacterium
Lineage: Bacteria
Description: partial 16S ribosomal RNA
Rfam family: Bacterial small subunit ribosomal RNA
Source: RNAcentral
UACGUAGGGGGCAAGCGUUGUCCGGAUUUAUUGGGCGUAAAGAGCGUGUAGGCGGUUCGGUAGGUCCGUUGUGAAAACUCGAGGCUCAACCUCGAGACGCCGAUGGAAACCCCCGAACUAGAGUCCGGAAGAGGAGAGUGGAAUUCCUGGUGUAGCGGUGAAAUGCGCAGAUAUCAGGAAGAACACGCGUGGCUAAGGCGGCUCUCUAGUACGGUACUGACGCUGAGACGCGAAAGCGUGGGGAGCGAACAGG